Otolemur garnettii (small-eared galago) is the source of this 1558-nucleotide long non-coding RNA. RefSeq lists it as uncharacterized. The record is from RefSeq and is a predicted model, not a curated record. Lineage: Eukaryota; Metazoa; Chordata; Mammalia; Primates; Galagidae. The transcript is spliced from 3 exons.
UCCACUUGCUGUGUGUGUAUCACACGGAGCGCACCGCGGGCCGGGCUGGGGUUUUCCUGUCUCUUGCUAACUGGUCUUGUAUCUGAAUUCUAGAAUUGUGGGAUUUGAGAGCCGUUAAGAGAUGCCAGAUACCAUCUCGUCAUGUUGCAGAUUAGAGAAAUAGAAGCAGAUGAGUUGAAGUUUGCUCACAGUGCCUGUUCACAGCACAAAUGAGGAGCAGGAUGAGAUCUGGAGUCAGAGUCUGAGACUGUCAUGUCAGCUGUGCUACCUUUAAACUGGAUCUUCGUGCUGUGAAGUACUCAGCUCCGGGUCGUCCCAGAUCCGUGGGAAAGUGUAUACAAAGCAGAGUGAGAAGAGUGAAAAGCAAGGUCGUGUGUACACAUUGAUGGCAGCUCUGAGAAGCUUAUUUACACUCAGAGAAAGCAGGGGAGGGGCCGCAUUGUUGCAACUUGUUCUUGUUGAGGGGCUGGGGAUGUGAUUGGAGGUACAGUUGUUUUAGUAAUUAAUGUAGACUUAAAAAUAAUGUGUAUGUUCUUUGAAGGCAAAGAACUUACUCUACUUACCCCUUUUGGUCCCUCACAGACUGCUGGGUUGGAGCAAGGGAGCCCAGGGCUGGGAGGUCUGGAGAUGGUUCCCACCUGUGCGUUGUGGCUGCACUGCCGAAGCCUGGAGGAAAACAAAGCCCUGGGUUUCCACAGUGUCUGGAGGCCAUUGCAGGGAGUCUGUGGUCAUGGUGUUCUGGAGGAAACCUCCAUUCCCUCCCACUAGCCUCCCGAGUAUCUGCAAGUGGGGUGUGCUCCAGGGCUGGCUGAGGGGCUGGCGGGUGGCCUACACUCAAGCUGGCUCUGCAAGGUGGGGUUUGCAGUCCGCUGGGCCGCUGCCUUGGAAGCCACGAGGCUAUCAAGAGUCUGGAGCUGCAGCUUUUCCAUCUGGCUGGACAGGAAGCAGGAGAAGAAGCUGCUUUGGUCACACAACACCCUGGGGACUGUGCUCCCAUCCCCUACCACACACAGAUCUGGCCACCAGCGUGCCUUGGGAAGAGGGGGUGCAGGGGGACACACUUGUGUUAUGCACCAGGGCCUGUCUCGGGUUCCAUCCCUCAAGGCACUUCCCAUUCAUAUGUCUUUCCCUUUCACAUUCUCAACAUUUAUUUAGUUGUGGAUGAUGCUGAGGACUCUGCACAUGUCACAGCCUCAUUUGAUCCUUAGAAUACACCUGCAAAGUACAUGUGGCAGAGUGGGCUGGCUGCUCUUCCUUUAGCGGGAGUCCUGCUAGGAAAUAGCUGCUCAUCCGGGGCCACAUUUUCCAGCUCCUUAUGGUUAGUUCCAGACCUAGGAUUGAGUUCACUGAGCUCUGAUCCAUGGAUUGUGAGCAGAAGUGAGCUGCUCCACUGCAGAGCCGUCCCCAGGGGCCUCCCAGGAAGCACUUCUGUGCUCCGUCCUCAUCCCUUUCUGCCCAGAUGCAUCAGGAAAAACCUCUGCCUUGACCUUGGAAGCUACAGAUUUUAAAUGGCAGAACAAGGUCUGGAACUCAGGAGUUUGAGCUCAGCCUAAGCAAA